Cyanistes caeruleus (blue tit) is the source of this 1755-nucleotide long non-coding RNA. The record is from Ensembl. NCBI's taxonomy places the organism in Eukaryota, Metazoa, Chordata, Aves, Passeriformes, Paridae.
CUCUUUCUUAGCCCCCCAAAUAGCUCAUGGCAUAGAAUUCCUUCUGGGAAGAGUAGAAAAGACAAACCCCACCCAAAUGCAGAGAAUGUCAUCUCCUGACCUAUAUAUAUUUGCUGUAUGCAGGGAAAAAAAAAUAAAAAUAAAUUGGUUCAGAUCUCUCUUCAUCAUCCUCACUCUGCAUUUGGCUCAGAGGCUCCAUCACACGAGAACAACACCGGUGUGGAAACCCCUCCUCAAUCCCACGCAUGUGUGAGGAGCGUUGGAUUUGUUUGGUUGCUGAAGCCUCUGAGAGUGUUUUCCCUCUUAAAAUUCCGGCUCUGUCUUUCUGUCUCCUCAUCACUUGGUACCUGGGAGCCUCAUUUCUCCCCGAGUUAAUGGCAGGGGAGUGCUCGUUAUGCAGAUGCCAGGGAAGCGUCUCCGUAGCAACAGCAGCCAUGGAAGCUCUCGGAUCUCAUUUAGCUCCCCAAGCCAUUCGUGUCCCUUGCACUCUCAGCAGCGUCCUGCCUCACGAACAACUUGGCUCCUGCAUUUUUUCACACAUCCCGGGGUGCAGAUCAUUCCCUAAGCGCAGAUCUGAGCUCACCCCCACCGGAAAUCUCUCUGCGCUGCUGUUUGAGAAUGUAUCGGUUGGAAAAAACUCAGCUUGGGCGUUCGGAAAAGAGUCCCAGCAAAGGCACGGACAGAGGAAUAUUCCCAGGAAAGAGAUGCAGACCUACGGUGGCAAUAAAAUCCCCAUCAAAUGUAAACUGUGAGGAUGGGAAUCUAUGCAGAAAACCUCUCCAUAGGCACCGUCACCUCCUUUUGGUUUCCAUAGAGAUUUGGGUUCCAGCAGAGAAAAUCCUGAUUGACAUGUACUUUCUGAGAGGUAAAGCCUCAGCAACACAGGAACAAGCUCUGAAUGUUUAUUAAACUCCUUCAUGGCAGAGCAUUUCAGGGCUUCCUUAUUUUAUUUAUUUUGAGAAUAAUUCAUUAUUGCUUUUUUAUUUUUUCCCCCCUAAACUUUUCUCAUGCCCUGGCAAAGGUGCUGGAUUGGCAGCUUUGGACUCUGUGAUCACACCCAGAUUUCAGCAAACAGGUAAAGCUGCAGACAAAUGGCUGAGCAGGGAGGGAAAACAAAAUUCCUUGAUUUCUUCUGAUAGUCAGAAUUUCAAGGAAAUCCAGAUUAAGCAAUGACUUUGUGAGCUGUGGGGAGAAUCCUUCACAAAAGCAGAAAAAGGUGGAUGCCUAAAGCCACAUCAGUGUGGAAAGGGGCAGAAAUUUUGAUUUUUCUUCUGUGCCCUGAACACAUUGGAGAGUUUGGUAUGGCUUGGGUCCAAUGAAUGGAGCUUUUUCUUUCUUGGAUGGCAAACAGAGCUGAUAUCACAUCCAUGGGAUGCUGAUUUUGGAAAACAGGCCCUAAACAUGUCCAGUUCCUGGAGAGGCAGCUCUGCCUGAGUUCACUGGGUCAAAGGAAUUCAAAAUAACCUCACCAGGCAGACUUCCCCUGUUUGAUAUCCUUUCUCCUGGGCCCUGUGUCACACUGCAGAUUUUAGCCAGCACAGCUCCAGUCUUUUGCUGGAGAGGAUGCAGUGAUUUUUGCUGACACCGGUGAAAAACAUCCCAGACUUCCUGUGGUGGUUCCAUGAGAAAUCAGUUGUAUUUAUACCCCUGUUUUUCAUCCUCUUGGUGUCUUGGUCGAGGAGGCAACAUCACCCUCUUCAUCUAACCUGACUUAAAGAAAAUAAAUAAAAAAUCCAGUGAAGAUUGUGAGGAAAA